ACUCUGUUAUUAGGGAAGAACAUAUGUGUAAGUAACUGUGCACAUCUUGACGGUACCUAAUCAGAAAGCCACGGCUAACUACGUGCCAGCAGCCGCGGUAAUACGUAGGUGGCAAGCGUUAUCCGGAAUUAUUGGGCGUAAAGCGCGCGUAGGCGGUUUUUUAAGUCUGAUGUGAAAGCCCACGGCUCAACCGUGGAGGGUCAUUGGAAACUGGAAAACGUGAGUGCAGAAGAGGAAAGUGGAAUUCCAUGUGUAGCGGUGAAAUGCGCAGAGAUAUGGAGGAAAACCAGUGGCGCAGGCCACUAUCUGGUCUGUAACU
RNAcentral lists this ribosomal RNA (319 nucleotides) under Staphylococcus aureus. RNAcentral's name for it is "bacterial SSU rRNA". It matches the Rfam family "Bacterial small subunit ribosomal RNA", at positions 430 to 741 of the family's 1533-position model. The record is from RNAcentral. Lineage: Bacteria; Bacillati; Bacillota; Bacilli; Caryophanales; Staphylococcaceae.